AUUAAAAUCCCAAUCAAAUACACCUCCUUAAGAAUUUCACAUGAAAAAAAUUUCUUUCUUAGAACAGCAAGCCCACGACUUCUUCCUAUUCUAUCCUUAAGAACUCGAACUAUUCGAGAUGACCUAAGUCCUCAACAGUUCCAACUAAGACAACUCAUUUUAAAUGGAUAGCUUGCUUUGCAAGUGUCGUCAAAAAAUUGGGGAAGAACCUGUGUUAUUAAGAUGAGAAAACCCAAAUUCAAUGUUCACCAUAUUUGCAUCCUGGACACUAUCGAUAGUGACACCAUUUUCACUUCUCUGUCUUUUCCUCCUCAAGCAUAAGCCCAUUAAGCUCAUCCCCCUCAGGCCCAAUAGGAAUAAUACAAGAUAAAUUUCUUUACUAAGAAUUUGAAUUGUUUCAUACUGUAAAAAAUUGUACCACGUGUACUACAUGAUCACCUAUAUUAUCGCCAUCAUUAACAAUCAAAUCUCCUUAUUGCAUUUUUUCUUGGAACAAUUUACCCAAGAUUUGGUCAUUUACUCCGCCCUUACCAUCUUUGUUCCUCCACUAGCCGUCGUUCUCCUCCCUCAACCACUUGCUCUUUCCACUUGCACCCCCUGUGCGGUGGAGCACGAAGCCAGCUUCCCCACUCCCUGUCCUUGGAAAUAGAGGCAUCAUCACCUUCAAAUUUCUUCUGACUUAAAAAGACGUACUUAUUAUGAUGAAAGUUAAUUUGAGACAAAUCAAGAGUAUUCAUUAAAAGAUACCACAUGAUUAAUGUCAAUUUAAAUUUAAAAAUAAACUACUACCUAAAAAUUAGUCAAUCACCACAAAUAAUUGAUUCAAAAAGGUGACUAAUGUUGCCAUCGUCACAACACUGUUAAUCACCGCUAAACCACCAAUACCAUCGUUCUACCGGUCUUAAUUAAUAAGAGAUUAGAUCGUGGCUCUAAAUCAAAACAACACUUACAAAGAUCAAAACGUAUAGAAUAAUACUAGAUGAAUCAGAGCCGCAUUCUAAUUCACA
Molecule: long non-coding RNA, 1007 nt
Filed under: Daucus carota (carrot)
Lineage: Eukaryota; Viridiplantae; Streptophyta; Magnoliopsida; Apiales; Apiaceae
Description: long non-coding RNA (DCAR_LNC005541)
Source: RNAcentral